ACAGUUGGAACGACUGCUAAUACCAGAAUGUGCCUUAGGGUGAAAGAUUUAUUGUCUAGAGAUUGGCUCGCGUCAGAUUAGCUAGUUGGAGUGGUAACGGCACACCAAGGCGACGAUCUGUACUUGGUCUGAGAGGAUGACCAGGCACACUGGAACUGAGACACGGUCCAGACUCCUACGGGAGGCAGCAGUGGGGAAUUUUCCGCAAUGGGCGAAAGCCUGACGGAGCAAUACCGCGUGAGGGAGGACGGCUUUUGGGUUGUAAACCUCUUUUAUCAGGGAAGAAUCGAUGACGGUACCUGAUGAAUCAGCAUCGGCUAACUCCGUGCCAGCAGCCGCGGUAAUACGGAGGAUGCAAGCGUUAUCCGGAAUUAUUGGGCGUAAAGCGUCCGUAGGUGGUUUAUCAAGUCUGCUGUCAAAGCGUGCGGCUUAACCGCAUAAGGGCAGUGGAAACUGAUGAACUAGAGUGCGAUAGGGGUAACAGGAAUUCCCAGUGUAGCGGUGAAAUGCGUAGAUAUUGGGAAGAACACCAGCGGCGAAAGCGUGUUACUGGGUCUGCACUGACAC
RNAcentral lists this ribosomal RNA (567 nucleotides) under Leptolyngbya sp. ampf5. RNAcentral describes it as "bacterial SSU rRNA". It matches the Rfam family "Bacterial small subunit ribosomal RNA", at positions 146 to 746 of the family's 1533-position model. The record is from RNAcentral. Lineage: Bacteria; Bacillati; Cyanobacteriota; Cyanophyceae; Leptolyngbyales; Leptolyngbyaceae.